RNAcentral lists this transfer RNA (73 nucleotides) under Vigna radiata var. radiata (mung bean). Its description in RNAcentral is "tRNA tRNA-Glu". It matches the Rfam family "tRNA". From Rfam's summary of the family: Transfer RNA (tRNA) molecules are approximately 80 nucleotides in length. The record is from Rfam by way of RNAcentral. Lineage: Eukaryota; Viridiplantae; Streptophyta; Magnoliopsida; Fabales; Fabaceae.
UCCGUUGUAGUCUAGUUGGUCAGGAUAUUCGGCUCUCACCCGAAAGACCCAGGUUCAAGUCCCGGCAACGGAA